UGAGGCACAGAGGUCGUGCCCAGGGUGCAGAUGACAGCAUUGGCCAAUCAGGGCGCAGUGACAGCCCUGGAGCUACUUAUUUUAAAAUAUACUGUAUAUAUUUUUCAAAAUGAAGUGUAUAUAUGAUGUUUUAACUCAUGAUAAGAGUCAACUUUGUAAUGUAAGACAAUUUGCAAAACAAUAAUUAGUGUCACUUUCAUUGAUAAUUUUCCCUCGCCAUUUUUUAAGGAACAACAAUUUUGAUCGCCAAAGAUACAAAGUACAAACACGAGCAAUUAUAAUUGUUGAAAGAUAAAGUGAACAAGAACAAGAAAAUUCUAAAGAACUACUGUAUAAUCGGUGGAAAGAACUCUAUAUAAUGACAUAGCUAAUAGGGAACUUUCGUACAGUGGGGGAUAAAAUUUCAUCUUCAUCCCUAAACCUCUUUUCCGAGAACUUUUUCCUCCAUCCCAUUUCCGUGGAGAAAAAUUUCCCGUCUUUGGGUCUCAAACGGGACAAUCCUCAUAGGAUCCCCAUUUACAAAUCAAAUGGAC
This 533-nucleotide long non-coding RNA is filed under the name Trifolium pratense (red clover). RNAcentral's name for it is "long non-coding RNA (TPRA_LNC005092)". Lineage: Eukaryota; Viridiplantae; Streptophyta; Magnoliopsida; Fabales; Fabaceae. The record is from RNAcentral.